Molecule: ribosomal RNA, 493 nt
Filed under: uncultured archaeon
Lineage: Archaea
Description: partial 16S ribosomal RNA
Rfam family: Archaeal small subunit ribosomal RNA
Source: RNAcentral
GACUUCCUCCGGACUAUAAAACCCAGAAAUCCCUCUAAGACCCCCUCUUUUUAGUCUUCCUCUCACGCCGGCCUCCCCCAGCGGAAUGCGGGCAACCGCGACGGGGCUACCCCGAGUGCCGGGCGAAGAGCCCGGCUUUUGCCCGGUCUAAAACGCCGGGCGAAUAAGCGGGGGGCAAGUCUGGUGUCAGCCGCCGCGGUAAUACCAGCUCCGCGAGUGGUCGGGGUGUUUACUGGGCUUAAAGCGCCCGUAGCCGGCCCGGCAAGUCGCUCCUGAAAUCCCCGGGCUCAACCCGGGGGCGGGGGGCGAUACUGCCGGGCUAGGGGGCGGGAGAGGCCGCCGGUACUCCGGGGGUAGGGGCGAAAUCCGUUAAUCCCCGGAGGACCACCAGUGGCGAAAGCGGGCGGCCAGAACGCGCCCGACGGUGAGGGGCGAAAGCCGGGGGAGCAAAGGGGAUUAGAUACCCCAGUAGUCCCGGCCGUAAACGAUGCGG